This is a long non-coding RNA of Pristis pectinata (smalltooth sawfish), 442 nucleotides long. RefSeq lists it as uncharacterized. The transcript has 3 exons. The record is from RefSeq and is a predicted model, not a curated record. Lineage: Eukaryota; Metazoa; Chordata; Chondrichthyes; Rhinopristiformes; Pristidae.
UUCACGGGCCUUGGACUUGCAGCGAUUGCUCAGCGUAGAAUGCUUUAAACUUAUACAUAUAAAUAGUUUAUAAAUAGCGCUCGUUUACUCAGUUAACCGCCUCCUUUUAAGGCUUUGUUUCUAUGCGGUGGCUUCCGAAUGGCUGGCGGUUGCUAGGUGACGCCAGCUGUCGCGGGUUAGUGGAGGAUGUGCGGCCAACGCAUUCAAAGGUGCUCCCAAGGUGCUGCUGGAGAAGUUACUACUGGAGUUGGACUCAGCGACAAUGAAGGAAUGUGGGCCAGGGGAUUUGGAACAUGGGCCAGGUCUCCUCUUGCAAUGCACUUGAUGAAAGGGUAGCCAAGCAGCCUGCAGUCAAGCGUCCACCAGUGGUGUUCUCCAGUCAGGCACCAAGCAUUCCCUGUAAUGCUUCACAUUACAGGAAUUUCUUUAUAUCACUCCACUG